ACAAGCUGUGCCUGCACAUAGCUGUGCAGGGUAGACUGCCUACAUACACAUGGCCGGGAUUCUUUAUUUCCUUGUUAUCAAUUAUAGUGCUUUGUUUGUUUCAGGGUUGGAAUUCUCAACCAGAAAUAAUACUUUCUAAAAUAUUUUAAAAUUCAGCUUGUGCUUUGGAUUAUAGAAGGAAAUUAUACUUUAAGAAAAUGUUCACAAAAAAAAAAAAAAAAAAAGGACUAUUACAGAUCCCAAUACUUGGAUUUGGUGACCUUGUCUUUCUUUCUUUUCUUGAGACAUGGUCCUACUACCAACCCUGGCUGGACUGGAGCUCAGUGUAUAGACCAGGCUAGUCUCAAACUCUGCCUCUUCCUCCCAAGUGCUGGGAUUAAGGGCAGGUACCAUAGUGCUCAGCAACCACAACCCUGUCUUUCCAACACGGCCCUAGCGUAAGCACUGAGGCAGUGUGCAGUGCUCAGGCAGCAGCAAACAUUUCCCGGGGGUGGUUUUGAACCUGCUUGGGUGGUUGUGUGGUGCUGACGCUGCCACUGCCCUGUUGUUCAUUGAGAAUGAUUGUUAAAUGACACUCUUCCUUUAGAAUAUAACGGAUCAGUACUCAUGUUUAAUUGCCAUGCUUAAUAAAUCAUGAGAACAAAAGAGUAUAGAAUGGAAAGCAUUCCCUGGUAGCUACUUUAAAUACAGGAGCCCUGUAACUUAAUACCAGUAGUCAACCACUGGAUCUCAGUUUUCAUCAAGUAUUUUAAAUAAAUAAUCUUAAAUUUUAAAAUACGUACUGCAGAGUAUGCCAGUAUCUUAUUGUUAAAACUGAAUCAAAUAAAUCUUCGAUUCCUGGUUAUUUGGACCAUUGACUCAUCAUGGACUAUAUAAUGUAAUAAGAUUCUUUUCUCUUAAGGUAUCCUUGAAUUACACCAAAGAACCAGAAACUUAAUUUUGGUUAAAUUAUUUAUUUAUUUCAUGCAUUAAUUUUCUUUUUCUUUUUAAAGGUUUAGAUGAGGCUCCUUAGGGAGUCUCUAAAACCGCUUCACUAUCAGCAACCAGGAGUACUAGAAGCCAGAGCACUCUUCCUCCUGGCUCCUCCCCAGUGCUCUAGUGCUGUAGGAACCAAGAGCCAGCCCCAGGUUCCCCGAGGCAGUAAAAAUCCAGCACAGGGGGCUGUGUCCCUAAGGCAAGCCCUGAUUACCUUUAAAAAAAACCAAAAAAACAAACAAAAAAAAAAAACCUAAUUAACUAAAGCAUUUAAGGCACUAUUUAUUUUAGAAUCAUGCUUUUGAAGAGCAUCAGUGAUUACUUAGGGUGUAAUAUGUAAAGAUCAGACAUCUCCAAAAACAGAAAAAGUACAAGUAAACAACACACUUUCUCAUGACUUUUAAGAACUGUAGUAAUGUGGCUUAGGAAAUAUAAUGGCCUAAUUGUUUUCAAAAUGUAAGUUCCUGUGAAGAAUUUUGUUUAUAUUGGGUUGGGGACCUAUAGGUUUAAAAUAGAAUGUCAGUCAGCUGACUUAAAAAACAUUGGUUUUACUAAGUCUGCCUUCCCCUUCUAAGGAAGAACUGAGUGGGUAAGGGACAGGUGUGUAAAAUCUCCAAAUGGAUGUUACAGCUUUCAGCUUGAACGUUUGUUUCCAGACCUGAUUAAAAUUUGGUUUAUUCUAAUUUCUGUACUAUAUCAUCUGAGGUUUUAAGUGGUAACUGGUUCUAUACCAUGUAUGUAUCAUAUGUUUGUUCAUCAAAGCUUUUUAAUCCAAAUAAAAACAACAGUUUGCAAAGUG
This 1774-nucleotide long non-coding RNA is filed under the name Mus musculus (house mouse). RNAcentral's name for it is "long non-coding RNA chr14:31119817-31121591". Lineage: Eukaryota; Metazoa; Chordata; Mammalia; Rodentia; Muridae. The record is from RNAcentral.